AGUGAACGCUGGCGGUAGGCCUAACACAUGCAAGUCGAACGGCAGCACAGUAAGAGCUUGCUCUUACGGGUGGCGAGUGGCGGACGGGUGAGGAAUACAUCGGAAUCUACUUUUUCGUGGGGGAUAACGUAGGGAAACUUACGCUAAUACCGCAUACGACCUACGGGUGAAAGCAGGGGAUCUUCGGACCUUGCGCGAUUGAAUGAGCCGAUGUCGGAUUAGCUAGUUGGCGGGGUAAAGGCCCACCAAGGCGACGAUCCGUAGCUGGUCUGAGAGGAUGAUCAGCCACACUGGAACUGAAACACGGUCCAGACUCCUACGGGAGGCAGCAGUGGGGAAUAUUGGACAAUGGGCGCAAGCCUGAUCCAGCCAUACCGCGUGGGUGAAGAAGGCCUUCGGGUUGUAAAGCCCUUUUGUUGGGAAAGAAAGGCAGCAGGUUAAUACCCCGCUGUUCUGACGGUACCCAAAGAAUAAGCACCGGCUAACUUCGUG
RNAcentral lists this ribosomal RNA (492 nucleotides) under uncultured bacterium. Its description in RNAcentral is "partial 16S ribosomal RNA". It matches the Rfam family "Bacterial small subunit ribosomal RNA", at positions 29 to 507 of the family's 1533-position model. The record is from RNAcentral.